AUGGGGAAAGAAGGAGGUGAAGAGAAAGCUUACAGAAUGACCUGGAACCUCAGUAUCUACCCUGUUCUGUGGUCUUUAAUUCAUAUAUUACAGGGGAACAAUUAAGGUCAGCAUAUAAAGAAUAUAAUUUUAUUUUUCCUGGGAUUUUUUGAUUUUCAAAAAGGGUCUUCUUUCAAAGAAAUCAAAAGGUACUAACAACAUCACUACCUAAGAACUCAACGACAACUUCUCCAUUGAAAAGGGGUCACAGCAAUUCUCUUCAUUUCCCACCACACACACACACACACACACACACCCUUAAGCCUCACAAUUGGCAUCCUUGCAGCUUCUCAUUGGAAGUGCUAACCACAGAUUGAAAAACACACAGAAACUUGACCAAACAAACAUCAAGAAGACAGAAAGUCGGAUUUGGGAGCUGCUUAUUGCCAGAAGGCCUUUUCUCCAAAGCAGACAUAACCUCCUGCUGGUGACAUUGCAUGACAGACCCGCCAUUUGCUACCACAAAGAGGAAAGUUGAGUGGGGAGGUCCAAAUCUGUUUUAAAUCAAGACUAUUUGUGAUGAUGAGAACCGGUUGUGGAAAAUAGGGGAAGCAUGAUUCUGUUCAACAUGCAGUCUGGUGCAGCUCCCAACAGAUGUGCAGAUGAGGACCCAGCACAUUCACACCUCCCUCCUAAGGUCAGCCACUGAGGUAGUUGAGAAUUUUUUUUAGAAGAAACAUUCUUUAAAACAACAACAAUAACACAGGACCCAGAGGAACCAAGAAUUGGAUCUCUUCCCAUUCCUCUCUCUUCACUUUGCCGCUCCACCACCCAAUGUUGACAAGAGGGAAACUUACUGCAUUACUUUUAAGUUGACUAACAGCAGUUUAUUAAAAAAAAAAAA
Molecule: long non-coding RNA, 883 nt
Organism: Antechinus flavipes (yellow-footed antechinus)
Lineage: Eukaryota; Metazoa; Chordata; Mammalia; Dasyuromorphia; Dasyuridae
Exons: 3
Source: RefSeq, a predicted model, not a curated record